ACUGCAGACUGGAAACUCUCAGUCUGUCAGGUUGUCUGGUCUCAGAAGUAGGCUGUACUUCUCUGGCCUCAGCUCUGAGCACCAACCCCUCCCAUCUGAGAGUUCUGGACCUGAGCUACAAUCAUCCAGGAGACUCAGGAGUGAAGAUGCUGUCAGCUGGACUAAAGGAUCCACACUGGAGACUGGACACUCUCAGGACGGACCAUGGUGGACCACAGCGACUGAGACCUGGUGUGAGGAAGUGUGAGUGUGUUUAAAGUUUGAG
Molecule: long non-coding RNA, 265 nt
Organism: Sander lucioperca (pikeperch)
Lineage: Eukaryota; Metazoa; Chordata; Actinopteri; Perciformes; Percidae
Exons: 3
Source: RefSeq, a predicted model, not a curated record